Long non-coding RNA from Lingula anatina, 568 nucleotides. RefSeq lists it as uncharacterized. NCBI's taxonomy places the organism in Eukaryota, Metazoa, Brachiopoda, Lingulata, Lingulida, Lingulidae. The record is from RefSeq and is a predicted model, not a curated record.
AUGGACGACUGACAAGUGUAUAUAAGCUCACUUUUCGUCGGAGAGUCAGUCAGUAAGACAUCUACAGGCCGAUAUAUUUGAUAGUUGCUGCUCAUUCUCUAACGGCUAAAAUGAAGACGUGUGUUCUCAUCGUGCUUUUGGUUGUUGCGGCUGUUGUCAUUGAAGAGACCACCGCCAGACUCGACGCCACGUGCACCUGUUGCGGCAAAACCUGUUCCGGGUCAAGCUGUAGUUGUGAUGACAACUGCAAUUGCAGCGCUUCUGAUGUCAAAGUAAAAACCGCAUCAAGCUCUGCAGGAGUACAGUAAAGACAUGAUACAAAACUAUUGCUGUUGCGGUUGCCCGUAGAGCCAUUCUUUAUUGGAGAAAUAUGAAAAAUCACUGGACCAUCUCUCCUGCAAAUUUCCAACAGCGAACUGAAAUAUUGUUUCUAUACUUUCAACUGUAAUACAUGAUAUAUGAUUAGAAAAAAUACGGUAACUUGAGUACUGAAUAUUUCAACAGAAAUAGACUUUUGGGCAAUACGCAUUCAUUUUCGAGAAAUAAAGAGAGAUCCCAAUAAAAAAAG